Zea mays is the source of this 1402-nucleotide long non-coding RNA. RefSeq lists it as uncharacterized. NCBI's taxonomy places the organism in Eukaryota, Viridiplantae, Streptophyta, Magnoliopsida, Poales, Poaceae. The transcript is spliced from 3 exons. The record is from RefSeq and is a predicted model, not a curated record.
AUCACUUUCACGUCUCAAACUCCACUGCAAACAGUACAUCCAUAUGCUGAUAUGCACGCUAUUUUUCUGAUAUGGUCUAAAGACUACGAGGAAAGAAAUGAUUUUAGACAUUGUUUGGACUACAUCUUUGCAUAUGUGAGAAUCGGAGCAUUUGGUGUGUAUAGUUAGCCAGCUAAUCUAUUACUACUCUAUUAAGAGUGUAAGGAGGGCGUCCACAGCCCUGGUGCCCCCGCCUGCCCCCGCUCCUGCGAACUUUGCUCCUGCGAUCCCGAGCCUCGACAGACGCCAUUACAGGACGACCGCAUCUUCCCUUUCCAUUGACACCACAUCCAUGCGUUGCGCCCCCAACUGCCCUUCCAUUGGUGCUCGCAUCUCCCCUUCCAUCCACACGCCGCGCCUCCAUCCAUGCCCCCACCCAGCUUGGAAACUCUGCAAAUCCAUGCCCAAAAUCUUCGGCCAUCGUCGCCCCCCGUGCCUCGCUCCCCUUCCAUUCGCCGUGAAUGUCGCCCUCAUCCAACCACCGGUGCAUCAGCCAGAUCCAUUCCAUCCAACCAGAUCUCGGCGAUAGUAGAGGACCAAAUGGUGGUGAAGGCGAUUCAUGAGGAGUGCCCCUGAGAGUCGCUCCCCAAUCGCCAUCGAUUUCGGCUGCCACCACGCCAUCGACCCUGGCCGCCCCCGCUCCCCCACGCAACAGUCGUCGCUAUCCCCUCCCUAUUCGUCAUCCGCGAUGCUCGCCGCCCCUGCUCCCCCACGCUGACUACACGCACCCUGCCAUCCUCGCCCUCCUCCGCGCACCGAAGGACGCUCGCCAUGCUCGCCUCCCUCCCCUCUGGCCAUUCCCUCACGCGCACUCGAAAAAAAGUCUAGCCCCCAAACUCCCCAGCGGGGGCGAGCCUGGGAGGAAGAGCCGUCGCCGCCAUGUAUGGCAGAACCAUCCGUGACCGCCUCGCUCCCCUUCAGCCCUUCCGUCGCGCGCGCUUGGAAAAAAGUCCAGCCCCAAACUCCCCAGCGGGGGUGAGCCUGGGAGGAAGAGUUGCCGCCUCCAUGUAUGGCAGAAUCGCCCACGACCGCCUCGCACUGUUUCGUUGCGAAGCCGCCUGACAGGACAAUGAACCUGAUGAUCUGGCACUACACCAUCCCCAGCAAGUAAGGGGAAGCAUCAUAGUCAUGGGAGGAGGGGAAGCGACGAAGGCGCGAGAGGGAUGGUAAACAUGGCCAGAUUCUGUACAUUAUUUAUGGAAUUAUGGUAGAUUUACGAGUCAUGCACUUUUGGUAGAUUCUGGCAACUCUUCUUCAAUAGAAAGAUUUUUUAUUGUUCACACCUUCCGUUUUGGACAUCGUCUUCAGCACAUGUCUUUGACUUUUUCCCUAAACAUUUGCUACUAAAACUUGCUGAAGAGAU